Molecule: ribosomal RNA, 514 nt
Filed under: uncultured bacterium
Lineage: Bacteria
Description: bacterial SSU rRNA
Rfam family: Bacterial small subunit ribosomal RNA
Source: RNAcentral
CGGCGCACAUAAGACAUGCAAGUCGAACGGAAGUCGUUAUACUGAUUAGAUAGGAACAGAGAACUGUUCAACGGGACUUGAAGAAGAUUUAUAACAAUGGCUUUAGUGGCGGACUGGUGAGUAAUACGUAAGCAACCUGCCUAUUAGAGGGGAGCAACAGUUAGAAAUGACUGCUAAUACCGCAUAUGCCAUAAGAAUCGCAUGGUUCAAGUGGGAAAGGAGUAAUCCGCUAAUAGAUGGGCUUACGGCUGAUUAGCUAGUUGGUGUGGUAAUGGCAUACCAAGGCGACGAUCAGUAGCCGGACUGAGAGGUUCAACGGCCACAUUGGGACUGAGAUACGGCCCAGACUCCUACGGGAGGCAGCAGUCGGGAAUUUUGCGCAAUGGAGGAAACUCUGACGCCAGUGACGCCGCGUGCAGGAAGAAGGUUUUCGGAUUGUAAACUGCUUUAGACAGGGAAGAAAAAGGACAGUACCUGUAGAAUAAGCUCCGGCUAACUACGUGCCAGCAGCAGC